UCCCCUAAUUGUUUCCUUUUCCAAUAUGCUCGUCCCUGAUCCAGCGAUGCAGACAACCUGAUCGCUGUCGCCGGCCGCUAGUAAAUCAUCCACCGUCAAGAAAAGAAAGGGACAGGAAAGCGCCGUCGUGUCGAUCUAGAGGCGCAUUCCGGCCGGCCGCCGGCCGCCGGCCGCACAGAUGAGCGAUUAAACAGCCAAAAAAAGUAAUUUAUUUUCAGUGUUAGAUUGGUUUGCGUCUUAUAAUGCGUUUGUCAAACUGCAAACAUGGAAAACUAAUUAUAAUACUUUUGAUUCUCCAAGCUUUGCAUCUCCCAUCGAUCAUUGUGUUAGCCAGCAUAAAGGAAUUAGGGGAAACACCAUCACCGUUAGCGAUACCAUGGUACGUCCCCUAUCUUCAACUUCAAUCUCCAUUAGAAGGGUUGUACGCGCUAUGUUGCGUCGUUGAAUUUGUUAGGAUUCUUAUUUUUUGUUAACUUACUCUAUUUUAAAACAUAUGGUGUAUUAUUUUUUAGAAAAGUCAAACUUUUAAUGUUUGAUCAAAUUUGUAGAGAAAUGUCAAAAUUCAAAAUAUUAACUCGGUGUUAUUAGAUUCAUCAUGAAAUGAAUUUUCAUAUUUUUUGUUUAAUAUUUUGAAUGUUGAUAUUUUUGGCUCUGAACUUGGUAAAAAUUAAAGAAAUUUGACUUUUCAAAAAAUUAAUAACCCUUAUACUUUAAAACAAAUGGAAUAUUUAAUUUUGCCGGUGUGGGAGACAAUGGAGUCUGUUUUAUCUUUAUUUAUAAUGCAGUUAUUUGGUGGGUCUUUUUCGGUGUGAUUCUAUGUUAUCCGCUAAUCAACCCAUGUUUACGUGGGAAUAUUUUUUCAUCAUUGAUUGCAUAUACUAUAUUCGUGCAAUAGUAUCACAUGAUGACGUUUUUGUAUGGGUGAUAGGAGUCUAAAGGUUGAUGUGUUUUUAUAGGACUGUUGUUGUUGAUUGAUUUGGAAAAUCGUUGGCCCGAUCCAAUCGAAUGAAAAGCUUUAAAAUUACGAUGCACAGAGAAUUAAAAUAAUUAAAUAGGAAAGCUAUUUGAAAAAUUGUUGUCCAGGUCAAAAUCGGGUGGCCAAAGUCUAAAUUGAUGCCUCAAUUAAUUGUGAAGAUUUAAAAAUUAAGAAGUAUAGUGUAUUAUAUAAAAAUAUAAAUGAAAGGGUUUGAGAAAUUAUUGAUCCGGUCAAAAUCGGAUGACCAAAUUUUAAUUGAAGACCUCAAUUGAUUGUGAGGCUUCCAGUCCUAGGGAGAUUAGUCAUAUAUAUUAUAUUUUCUUGUCUACAUGCAUGAUGGUUGACUGGUUGACAUGAAAAUUGGAUUGGAAUCAAUUAGUUAUAGUACCGUGUACCAAAAUUUGAAACAUAAAUUUAUAAAUUUGAAUCUUUUUUUAAGAUAGCCGUCAUGUUGACCGUGGAAAAGCAUGCGCACACAAUGACUGAUUAGUAGUGACUUGGCAAUCAGCUUGAGAUUGUAUAUACAUAGGCGCUUUGAUUUUGUCAGGGAGGACUGUGAGUACAUGCACGUGCUUGUUUUGACUUCCGAAUAUGAUGCACUGUUUUUACUUCGGCCAAUGAUUCAGCGCUUACUAAUUGUAGUUCCUCGUGUAAUCAGAUCAAUCAUUAAUCAAUGGACGCGAUCAGGGACGUCUCCAGAUAUUUAGGGCCCCGGACAAAAAUCAAAAUAGCCUCUACUGGAUCAGCACCAUGUGCAUCAUCGAUAUUAGCAUCUGGAAUUUGGCUUUUAGAAUUGGUUUGAGAAUUUUUUUUUUUUACGACAAAUUUAUCAAGAACAGCCUUUUUGGGAUCGAG
This 1831-nucleotide long non-coding RNA is filed under the name Hordeum vulgare. RNAcentral describes it as "long non-coding RNA (HVUL_LNC006504)". Lineage: Eukaryota; Viridiplantae; Streptophyta; Magnoliopsida; Poales; Poaceae. The record is from RNAcentral.